CAUAGACGCGAAACCUAGUGAUCUAGGCCUGUCCAGGCUGAAGCUGAGGUAAGACUCAGUGGAGGGCCGAACUCACCGCCGUUGAAAAGUUGGGAGAUGAGAUAGGUCUAGGGGUGAAAAGCCAAUCGAACUAGGAGAUAGCUCGUUCUCUCCGAAAUGCAUUUAGGUGCAGCCUUGGCAUGAAGAUAUGCGGGGGUAGAGCUCUGUAUGGUCUAGGGGGCGUACUGCUUACCGAAAUCAAGCAAACUGCGAAUACCGCAUAUUAAUAGCCAGGAGUGAGUCCGUGGAUGACAAGGUCCUCGGACGAGAGGGGAACAGCCCAGACCGCCAGCUAAGGUCCCUAAUUAUGUCUAAGUGGGAAAGGAGGUGGAUAUUCACAGACAACCAGGAGGUUGGCUUAGAAGCAGCCAUGCCUUGAAAGAGUGCGUAAUAGCUCACUGGUCGAGAGUAUCUGCGCCGAAGAUGUAACGGGGCUAAGACAUAAACCGAAGCUGCGGAGGCGUGCUUGCACGCCUGGUAGGAGAGCGUUCUGUAGGCCGUUGAAGGAAUGCCGCAAGGCCAUUCUGGAGGUAUCAGAAGUGAGAAUGCAGGAAUGAGUAGCGAGAAGGCGGGCGAGAAUCCCGCCGGCCGGAAGUCCAAGGUUUCCAGGGGAAGGUUUGUCCGCCCUGGGGGAGUCGGGACCUAAGCAUAAGCAAAAAUGUGAUGGCGAAUGGAAAACAGGUUAAUAUUCCUGUACCGCUGUUAUCGCCUGAGAGACGGAGUGACGCAGGAAGGUAUGCGGGAAGGCUGACGGAAUAGCCUUUCUAAGGGCGUAGCAUGGGCAUGCAGGAAAAUCCGCAUGCCUAAAUGUGAGACCUGACGGGUAAGUGCAUCUUGCAUAAGCCGCAGAUCCUACACUGCCGAGAAAAACUUCUAUCGAUGAGAACCAGCGCCCGUACUGUAAACCGACACAGGUGGACAGAGUGAGAAACUUAAGGCCGACAGGAUAACUCUAGCUAAGGAACUCUGCAAAAUAGCCCCGUAACUUCGGGAGAAGGGGUGCCUGACAUACCUGAGAGGAGAAACACCUCAAGGGGAAACAGGCCGCAGUGAAGAGUCCCAAGCAACUGUUUACCAAAAACACAGGUCUAUGCUAAGCUGAAAGGCGACGUAUAUGGGCUGACACCUGCCCAGUGCCGGAAGGUUAAGAGGAGGAGUGAGAGCUCCGAAUUGAAGCCCCGGUGAACGGCGGCCGUAACUAUAACGGUCCUAAGGUAGCGAAAUUCCUUGUCGGGUAAGUUCCGACCUGCACGAAUGGUGAAAUGAUUUGGGAGCUGUCUUGGCUGGAGACCUGGUGAAGUUGUAAUGCCGGUGAAGAUACCGGCUACCUGCAGUAGGACGGAAAGACCCCGUGGAGCUU
Molecule: ribosomal RNA, 1399 nt
Filed under: human oral metagenome
Description: bacterial LSU rRNA
Rfam family: Bacterial large subunit ribosomal RNA
Source: RNAcentral